GGGGCUAUAACUCAGUUGGUAGAGUGCAUGUUUUGCAAACAUGAAGUCAUCGGUUCAAGUCCGAUUAGCUCCA
RNAcentral lists this transfer RNA (73 nucleotides) under Halamphora calidilacuna. RNAcentral's name for it is "tRNA-Ala". It matches the Rfam family "tRNA". From Rfam's summary of the family: Transfer RNA (tRNA) molecules are approximately 80 nucleotides in length. Their secondary structure includes four short double-helical elements and three loops (D, anti-codon, and T loops). Lineage: Eukaryota; Bacillariophyta; Bacillariophyceae; Naviculales; Amphipleuraceae. The record is from RNAcentral.